Molecule: long non-coding RNA, 2778 nt
Organism: Strigops habroptila (Kakapo)
Lineage: Eukaryota; Metazoa; Chordata; Aves; Psittaciformes; Psittacidae
Source: Ensembl
AGGUUUUGCUAUAGUUGCUGGUGUGCUGGUUGUCCUUGCUGUCACAGCAACAGGAGCAGUGUUCCUUAUCCGUUUCCGAGUGUUCAAGAAAAGCUGCCAGACCAGAAGGGGACCUGGAGCCACAAACCAAGUCUUUGCAGAUCAAGAACAACGACACAGAGAACACCCUGUCCUGGCUGUACCUGCCCAGAAGGUAAAAGCUGGGUCAGCUCUGGUCUCCUAUGGACUGUAACGGAGGGGUUGGAACAUCAAAACUCAUCAAAGUGUGCUACACUUCUACGAGGGUUUCAAAACGCUUCUCUGGGGCUGAGGACAGUGCUGUGAAUCCCAGCAUGGGGAAAGAACAUGGCACUAAGUCCCAGAGCAAUCUGUGUGUAGUAAAGCAGCAUGCAAAGAUAAUGAACAAGACAAAGGCUCCAUGGGAUUUAACUGUUCCCUGUUUUCAGAUGAACGAUAAGAAACUUCUCCUUCCUGUACCUCCACUGCAAGAGAACAAACCACACCUCCAGAUCCCUGCCAAAAGGCCAAGAGGUCCCCCACCUCCUGUUCCUUCUAUGAAACCAGCCUCUUUUCACACUGAAGAGAUCUUUGCACCAGAGAGAAAACCGGCUCAUCUUCCAGUUCCCAAAGGCAAACCUCCACCUCCACCAAAGGCUUUAAAACCUCCAAUUAACCCCAGAGUAUGAAGCUUCUGAAGUUGGGCUGAUCGAGAUACCUGAAAUUCUCAGGGGCAAGUUUUUUGUCCCUUCAUUCCUCCACUUCUGGCAAAGACAAACAAGAAUGUCUUCCUGUUCUCUUUAAUAGAAGAACAACUGACUGACAGCUUUGAAAGAACAGGUCUGGUUUGCAAAGAGCAAGGAACUCUUUGGUGAUGACACCAAGCUACUGUCCAAAAGGAAACGGAAGCAGAAUCGCUACUUGCACUGAGGUGUAGACUGGGAGUAAGUUAUGAAAGCUGCUUAGCACAUUCUAACUCCUAGGCCACCGCUGCAAGAUGUGGCUGCACUGGGAUGCUCUGCACCUACACAGCUUUCCUGGGUACAGACCUGAGAAGAUCAGGGAAGUAUAGAUACUCCAGGCUUGUAAAUUGUAAACUCUUUGCUCCAUUUCUGGAUCUUUACAGCCUGCUUUUCAGCAUCAGACCAGACCUUGUCCUUCAAGUGCAAGUUGCAAGUUCUGAGAAAAGAAAAAUCCCUCUUGCCCUCUUCGGAGAAUAGUUUGUGUCCUCAAACCUGAACUAGCCUUGGAAUAAUGAGAUUAUGCACUGGAAACGCACUGAUUCUGGAAAGAUCCUUUUGGAUUGAAUUCUUUUAUUAAUCCCUUAGAUUACCUGUGAAACAAGAUUCCUCUGUUAAGUAGGUAGAGCUGGAGACGUGCUCCAAAGCAAAGCACGCAGGAGUCAAACCACUUGCUGCUUGCAAGUGCUCCCAGCGUUCUGGCUGUGCCAGUUGAAAAAGAGCUCCAGCUGCCACCACUGCACUUGGACAGAAGGGUUUAGAAAAGCAGAGUCAACAAACUCCUUCAUCAUUGAGUUCAUUUGCCCCUCGGCUCCAGAAAUAUCUGAGUAUUUCUCCCUUCCAGGAUAUACACACCUUGGUGUUCUCGUCUAAUUGCUCUUGUGCCAGUGUGUGUUAUUGUAAAGUUGCUAAUGAGAACCAGGCUGGGCACGGGGGAUUGUUAUUAUGGGACAGCAUCACAGCAUGAGUCUUUGCAUGAGGGUUUAUGACUGAGAGGUUCUUCAUUCGUUCACUCCUGUUGGCAUCAACACUGUUGACAGUAUUGGUCUGCUGGCAUAGAUGUGCACGAUACUGUUGGCAUUGAUGUUAAUGAUACUGUGAGGGUGCUGGCACUGAUGCUAUUGUUACCCUUGGCACUGAUGAUAUUCAUCAGUGGUUGGCAUCAAGAGUUUUAAGUUUAAGCACACAGAAGUGUUUUUCAAGGAAUAAAAAAUUUUACCAGGAAAAAAAAGAAAAAGAAAUAAAAGAGAAAAAUAAAAUUGCCCUGGACCAAAAGUGCUCCAGAUUUUAUAGACAUUCCAGUUUGAACUGGAUUUGGGUUUGGAUCAGGAUCAAAAUCAGAACACAGAUCCAAAUCAAUUACAGGGUGGCUCAGGAAGGCAGUUUCCAGCCCUUGGGCGUAGUGGCUUUGCUGGAGAAGAUCACUUUGACUGCCAAACUGCCAAAGCAGACCUGGGGCCCUGGGCCAGCACUGCACACACCAAUCUUGACCUGUGCCUGGUUCUCACCAGGGCCUACCAGCCCAAUCCUUAGAGGACCUGACACUUUCUACAAGUUCACAGACCAGCUCUCACCUGCUGAAACCCUGAUCCACAUCAUCCUGUUCAGAUACUGAACACACAACUGUACAGCUACGUUUCAAAUGCAGAGCCCUGCUAUGUACGGUCACUGUUACUGCAGCCACACGCUGCAGAUCCAUCAUCUCCAAUACCAAAAUGAAUAUUAAAACCCCCAAUUUCUUCUUCUGGGCUUGCUUUGCCCAGAUUGCUUUGAGGUUGCCAAACAAGUACUGUAUGUGCUGCAAAACACUGAUGUGGUGAAAUUACAGCUUGAGGAGUGAGGUGGGUCUUUGUGGUUUAGGAUAAAUCUUAUUGGAAGAGUAUAGCUUUCUUCCACGUUAGAUAAAUGCUUCUUUAUUUGAGUCAGAAAUGGAUUUUAGUCUGUCUGUAUUUGACUAUGGUGUAAAGAUUCAGAACUUAUUUUUUAUGGACUGUAAUUAAGGUAUUUACAAAGAUUUCUGUAUUAAAAGUAUUCUAUCUAC